AGUGAACGCUGGCGGUAGGCCUAACACAUGCAAGUCGAACGGCAGCACAGUAAGAGCUUGCUCUUACGGGUGGCGAGUGGCGGACGGGGGAGGAAUACAUCGGAAUGUACUUUUUCGUGGGGGAUAACGUAGGGAAACUUACGCUAAUACCGCUUACGACCUACGGGUGAAAGCAGGAGAUCUUCGGACCUUGCGCGAUUGAAUGAGCCGAUGUCGGGUUAGCUAGUUGACGGGGUAAAGGCCCACCAAGGCAACGAUCCGUAGCUGGUCUGAGAGGAUGAUCAGCCACACCGGAACUGAGACGCGGCACAGACUCCUACGGGAGGCGGCAGUGGGGAAUAGUGGACUAUGGGCGCAAGCCUGAUCCAGCCAUACCGCGUGGGUGAAGAAGGCCUUCGGGUUGUAAAGGCAUUUUGUUGGGGAAGAAAAGCAGCAGGUUAAUACCCCGCUGUGCUGACGGUACCCAAAGAAUAAGCACCGGCUAACUUCGUG
This 492-nucleotide ribosomal RNA is filed under the name uncultured bacterium. RNAcentral describes it as "partial 16S ribosomal RNA". It matches the Rfam family "Bacterial small subunit ribosomal RNA", at positions 29 to 507 of the family's 1533-position model. The record is from RNAcentral.